RNAcentral lists this ribosomal RNA (799 nucleotides) under Scopulibacillus sp. M82. RNAcentral's name for it is "bacterial SSU rRNA". It matches the Rfam family "Bacterial small subunit ribosomal RNA", at positions 86 to 869 of the family's 1533-position model. Lineage: Bacteria; Bacillati; Bacillota; Bacilli; Caryophanales; Sporolactobacillaceae. The record is from RNAcentral.
GUGGAAUGAGCGGCGGACGGGUGAGUAACACGUGGGCAACCUGCCUGUAAGACGGGGAUAACUUCGGGAAACCGGGGCUAAUACCGGGUAAUCUUUUGCACCGCAUGGUGCAAGGGUAAAAGAUGGUUUCGGCCAUCGCUUACAGAUGGGCCCGCGGUGUAUUAGCUAGUUGGUGAGGUAAUGGCUCACCAAGGCAACGAUACAUAGCCGACCUGAGAGGGUGAUCGGCCACACUGGGACUGAGACACGGCCCAGACUCCUACGGGAGGCAGCAGUAGGGAAUCUUCCGCAAUGGACGAAAGUCUGACGGAGCAACGCCGCGUGAGUGAUGAAGGUUUUCGGAUCGUAAAGCUCUGUUGCCGGAGAAGAACAGGUGCCAUAGGAAAUGAUGGUGCUUUGACGGUAUCCGGCCAGAAAGCCACGGCUAACUACGUGCCAGCAGCCGCGGUAAUACGUAGGUGGCAAGCGUUGUCCGGAAUUAUUGGGCGUAAAGCGCGCGCAGGCGGCUUCUUAAGUCUGAUGUGAAAGCCCCCAGCUCAACUGGGGAGGGUCAUUGGAAACUGGNAAGCUUGAGUACAGAAGAGGAGAGUAGAAUUCCACGUGUAGCGGUGAAAUGCGUAGAGAUGUGGAGGAAUACCAGUGGCGAAGGCGGNUCUCUGGUCUGUAACUGACGCUGAGGCGCGAAAGCGUGGGGAGCAAACAGGAUUAGAUACCCUGGUAGUCCACGCCCGUAAACGAUGAGUGCUAGGUGUUAGGGGGUCCAACCCUUAGUGCUGAAGUUAAACACAUUUAAGCACUC